Molecule: long non-coding RNA, 2622 nt
Organism: Erinaceus europaeus (western European hedgehog)
Lineage: Eukaryota; Metazoa; Chordata; Mammalia; Eulipotyphla; Erinaceidae
Exons: 3
Source: RefSeq, a predicted model, not a curated record
AUUCCAAGCUCCUUUAUAGGGGUUGCGAGUGUCUUUGUUCCCCCUGUUGGGUGACUAGCACACCCUCAUUUAGGCCACAUGCCAAGUCCUCUGCUGCCCUCUGGUAAAAGUCCAAAUAAAAGCAAAGCAAUGUUGAAGAAGUCAUCAACAACAUGGCAGAGUUCUGUGUCCCCAUUCCCUUCAUUGGAAACUGCAGUCAUUCUCCCAAGGUUACAGGUUUAUUGCUGAGGCUCGAUGCCUACACUACAAUCCACUGCUCCUGGCAGUCAUUUUUUUCCCCAUUUUGUUGUUGUUGGAUAGGACAGAAAGAGACUGAGAGGGGAGGGGAAGAUAGAGAGGGAAAGACACCAGCAGACCUGAGACCCCGCUGUGCCUCACCCACUGGCCCACCAGGAUGCUGUGCCCGCCCAGCCGCCACUGAGGAGAUCCAGGCCCUGGCCGACCAGGUGCAGACCCAGCUGGAGGAGAAAGAGAACUAGAAGUUCAGCAUGUCUAAGGCCAUUGAGUUCAAGACCCAGGUGGUGAACUAGAAGUUCAGCAUGUCUAAGGCCAUUGAGUUCAAGACCCAGGUGGUGGCCGGGACCAUCUACUUCAUCAAGGUGCAAGUGGAUGGCGAGCGUGUGUUCCAGAGUCUCCCGCACAAGAACAAGCCCCCGGCCUUGCACAACUACCAGACAGGCAAGGCCACACACGAGGAGCUGACAUACUUCCAGACCAGCGAGUGCGCAGCCUUUGCCCCUCUGCACCUCCCCCAGGACCCGCUGUCCUCCCAAAGGUGGUUCUGUUCCUUUCAAAAUACAGAUUUCUUAUGUCUUUGCAAAAAAAAAAAAAAAAAAAGACACCAGCAGACCUGCUUCACCACUUGUGAAACGAUCCCCCAGCAGGUGGGGAGCUGGGAGCUUGAACCUGGGUUCUUGCACAGGUCCAUGUGCUUAACCAUUCUUUCUUUUUCCACCAAAGUUAUUGCUGGAGCUCAGUGCCUAUAGAAUGACUAUACUGCUCAUGGUGGCUUUUUUUUUUUUCCAUUUUUCCUUUGAUAGCAGGUGAGAUACAGAGAUAAAGAAGGAGAAACAGAGGGAAGGAAGAGACACCUUCCUGCUCCACUAGUGAAGUUUUCCCUCUUCAGGUGGGGAUUCAAGCCUUAAACCCAGAUCCUCAAGCAUGGUAAUAUGUGAGCUUAGGAGGGGUACCAUCAUUCAUCCCCAUAAUUUUUUUUAAACUAGAUAUCACCGUUGAGCUCUGAUUUAUAGUGGUGCCAGGGGAUUGAACCUGGCAUCUCCAAGACUUAGGCACGAAAGCCUUUUGCAUAACCAUUAUGCUAUCUCCCCCAGUUAGAAUUUUCAAAUGAAAACACAGAAACACGUAAGAGGAAAGGAGCCAGAGAAUAAUCUAAGAAAGGUAUAUACACCUUUUUGUGCCCGCAUGCAGGCUUGCUGUAACAGAGUUGUCACAUCAGCACAUGAGAGAAACAAGUAGACUUACUCAAUGGGGCCAGAGAAAUAGCUCACUUAGGGCACUACCUUGCCAAGUUCAAGCCCAAUUCCCACCUCAUUGAAGGAAACUUCAGUGUUGUGGUCUCUUUCACUCUUUCUCUCUCUCUUUACCAGAGUACUGCUCCGCUCUGGCUGAUGGUGGUGCAGGGGAUUGAUCUCUGCCUAUCUAUAUAAAAGAAGGCUCCCACCUUCAGUGGGGACACUUCACAAGUGACAAAGCAGUACUGCAGGUGUCUACUUUUUUUUCUCUCCCUAACUCCCCCCUCUGCUCUCAACUUCUCUGUCCUAGCAAAUAAAAUGGGGUAGGGGGAAUGGCCACCGGGAGUGGUGGGUUCAUAGGGGCAAACGCUAGAAGAAGAAGAAGUACUUGCACUGGGCCUCAGUGAUAACCCUGGAGGCAAAAAAAAAAAAAAAAAAAAAAAAAAAGGAAGGAAGGAAGGAAGGGAAAAGAAAGAAAAAAGGGAAAGAAAGGCUUGUUCAAUGUUCUGGGAUUUAAUGGUCCCAGUCAAUGGUCUUAAGACUCCAUUUGAUACUCCUCCAAGUUUCUAGCUGGUGCUUCCACUCCAACUCAUCUCCCGACCACCUUGCACAAGCUCCCACCCCCUUGUCAAGCCUGGCUCUGUCCCAGCCAUUUCUCUCCUGGUGUCAACACUGGCCUCCUUUUUAUUUCCCUUCUCCAAAUGCUCAGCACAAAACUUUCUGGGCCUAAAUUCGCAGCUUCCCGGUUUUCUCCAUCUCUGACGAUGGGAUCAUGAAAAUGGCGGCAGGGAUAAGGGUUCAAAAAAAAAAAAAUCUACGUAAAACAGUUGCUGAGAGGAUUAGACGUUCUCUGUAUUUGAGGACUUUUUGGAAACUGCAACCGAUCACACAAAUAUAAAUCUGUAUAGCCGGGAGUCGGGCGGUGGCGCAGCGGGUUAAGCGCACGCGGCGCAAAGCGCAAAGACCGGCUUAAGGAACCCGGUUCGAGCCCCCGGCUCCCCACAUGCAGGGAAGUCGCUUCACAGGCGGAGAAGCAGGUCUGUAGCUGUCUGUCUUUCUCUCCCCCUCUCUGUCUUCCCCUCUCUCCAUGUCUCGCUGUCCUAUCUAACAAUGACAUCAACAGUAACAAAAAUUAAAAAAAAAGGGCAGC